Poecilia latipinna (sailfin molly) is the source of this 647-nucleotide long non-coding RNA. RefSeq lists it as uncharacterized. The transcript is spliced from 4 exons. The record is from RefSeq and is a predicted model, not a curated record. NCBI's taxonomy places the organism in Eukaryota, Metazoa, Chordata, Actinopteri, Cyprinodontiformes, Poeciliidae.
UCGCAGUUUAGUUCAAGUGACCGGAAGUGACUUCACUGCAAACCGGAAGUGUUUUUAUAUCGGCCGUCAGCUCUCUAGCAAGCUAAAUUACUUUUAAAGAUAAUUCUUCUUUACGAUUUUUGGAAAUGGACCAACGCGAGCUUUUCAUGUAAUUUUCCCCCCGGGGUUUUGGAGCAGCGCCACCACAGGCGCAAAGCGGGAAGACAGCUGAACUGCGCCAGGCUCGGUGAGAGCUGAAAGGCCUGCUGAGAACAAUGGCUGACAUGAGGAGAAACAUGCAGGAUCACCACCUGAACUCCUGAAGGAAGAGCCAUUGUUCCAGUGUUGGCUUUUGUCAGGGCCACUCCGGAUAAAAGAGAGAAACAACAUGGUGUUCCAGUUCAUAGCAAUGACAGCGCACACGUUUUGUUCCCUUCAAAAUAUUAUUCAUCCACAGCGUUUUGUAUUUCCACGGCCCCCUGUCACACAGGCGCAGCUUUUGCUCCAAAUACAUUCUUAUUUACUUUUUGUGCAGCUGGAGUCUGAAUUAUUUUUCAUUAAAGUCAAAAAUAAAGGGAAUAGCAGUGUUUUUCUCCUGAUAAAGCUGGUUUAAAUUUGAAAGAUUUACUUAUUUUUCAAUAAAAAAGGGAAUAAAUUCCCACCUUUAA